This 21-nucleotide non-coding RNA is filed under the name Caenorhabditis elegans. Lineage: Eukaryota; Metazoa; Nematoda; Chromadorea; Rhabditida; Rhabditidae. The record is from RNAcentral.
UAUCGGUAUUAUAAAAGGGGU